Molecule: transfer RNA, 85 nt
Filed under: Julbernardia paniculata
Lineage: Eukaryota; Viridiplantae; Streptophyta; Magnoliopsida; Fabales; Fabaceae
Description: tRNA-Leu
Source: RNAcentral
UGGUAUGGAAAAACCUACUAAGUGAGAACUUUCAAAAAGGCCCCUUUAAUUCCCUAAUUUUUUAUCCUAUAUCCUCUAUUUUUUA